AUUCCAUGAUGUGGGCACCUUGCAACUCUUUAAAAUGUUUCCACGCAUCAUAUAAGGACUCCCCAUCUAGCUAAUUAAAGUUAUUAAUUUCUCCUCUAUAUC
Small nucleolar RNA from Humulus lupulus (European hop), 102 nucleotides. NCBI's taxonomy places the organism in Eukaryota, Viridiplantae, Streptophyta, Magnoliopsida, Rosales, Cannabaceae. The record is from RefSeq and is a predicted model, not a curated record.